CUGCUUUGAUAGCAUGUAUAGUAAGACUGGAACAAUACAGAGAAAAUUGGUAUAACUCCUACAUUCAGAUGACACACAAAUUCGUGAAGUGUUCUGUGUUUGG
Small nuclear RNA from Bison bison bison, 103 nucleotides. NCBI's taxonomy places the organism in Eukaryota, Metazoa, Chordata, Mammalia, Artiodactyla, Bovidae. The record is from Ensembl.